This 468-nucleotide ribosomal RNA is filed under the name uncultured bacterium. RNAcentral describes it as "partial 16S ribosomal RNA". It matches the Rfam family "Bacterial small subunit ribosomal RNA", at positions 28 to 507 of the family's 1533-position model. The record is from RNAcentral.
GACGAACGCUGGCGGCGUGCUUAACACAUGCAAGUCGAACGGAAAGGCCCUGCUUUUGUGGGGUGCUCGAGUGGCGAACGGGUGAGUAACACGUGAGUAACCUGCCCUUGACUUUGGGAUAACUUCAGGAAACUGGGGCUAAUACCGGAUAGGAGCUCCUGCUGCAUGGUGGGGGUUGGAAAGUUUCGGCGGUUGGGGAUGGACUCGCGGCUUAUCAGCUUGUUGGUGGGGUAGUGGCUUACCAAGGCUUUGACGGGUAGCCGGCCUGAGAGGGUGACCGGCCACAUUGGGACUGAGAUACGGUCCAGAAUCCUACGGGAGGCAGCAGUGGGGAAUAUUGCACAAUGGGCGGAAGCCUGAUGCAGCAACGCCGCGUGCGGGAUGACGGCCUUCGGGUUGUAAACCGCUUUCGCCUGUGACGAAGCGUGAGUGACGGUAAUGGGUAAAGAAGCACCGGCUAACUACGUG